RNAcentral lists this ribosomal RNA (724 nucleotides) under uncultured Fusobacterium sp. RNAcentral's name for it is "bacterial SSU rRNA". It matches the Rfam family "Bacterial small subunit ribosomal RNA", at positions 28 to 776 of the family's 1533-position model. The record is from RNAcentral. Lineage: Bacteria; Fusobacteriati; Fusobacteriota; Fusobacteriia; Fusobacteriales; Fusobacteriaceae.
GAUGAACGCUGACAGAAUGCUUAACACAUGCAAGUCGACUCGAGUCUUCGGACUUGGGUGGCGGACGGGUGAGUAACGCGUAAAGAACUUGCCUCAUAGUCUGGGACAACAUUUGGAAAUGGAUGCUAAUACCGGAUAUUAUACUUUCUUCGCAUGGAGGAAGUAUGAAAGCUAUAUGCGCUAUGAGAGAGCUUUGCGUCCCAUUAGCUAGUUGGUGAGGUAACGGCCCACCAAGGCGAUGAUGGGUAGCCGGCCUGAGAGGGUGAACGGCCACAAGGGGACUGAGACACGGCCCUUACUCCUACGGGAGGCAGCAGUGGGGAAUAUUGGACAAUGGACCAAAAGUCUGAUCCAGCAAUUCUGUGUGCACGAUGACGUUUUUCGGAAUGUAAAGUGUUUUCAGUCGGGAAGAAGCAAGUGACGGUACCGACAGAAGAAGCGACGGCUAAAUACGUGCCAGCAGCCGCGGUAAUACGUAUGUCGCAAGCGUUAUCCGGAUUUAUUGGGCGUAAAGCGCGUCUAGGCGGCAAGGAAAGUCUGAUGUGAAAAUGCGGGGCUCAACUCCGUAUUGCGUUGGAAACUGCCUUACUAGAGUACUGGAGAGGUAGGCGGAACUACAAGUGUAGAGGUGAAAUUCGUAGAUAUUUGUAGGAAUGCCGAUGGGGAAGCCAGCCUACUGGACAGAUACUGACGCUAAAGCGCGAAAGCGUGGGUAGCAAACAGG